GAUGAACGCUAGCGGCAGGCCUAAUACAUGCAAGUCGGACGGGAUUCAGGAGCUUGCUUCUGAUGAGAGUGGCGCACGGGUGCGUAACACGUAUGUAACCUACCUUUAUCAGGGGGAUAGCCUCUCGAAAGAGAGAUUAAGCCCGCAUAAAAUCACAGCACAGCAUUGUGUAAUGAUCAAAUAUUUAUAGGGUAAAGAUGGGCAUGCGGAACAUUAGCUAGGUGGCGGGGUAACGGCCCACCAUGGCGACGAUGUUUAGGGGAUCUGAGAGGAUGGCCCCCCACACUGGUACUGAGACACGGACCAGACUCCUACGGGAGGCAGCAGUAAGGAAUAUUGGUCAAUGGGCGGAAGCCUGAACCAGCCAUGCCGCGUGCAGGAAGACGGCCCUACGGGUUGUAAACUGCUUUUAUACGGGAAUAAACCCAGAUACGUGUAUCUGGCUGAAUGUACUGUAAGAAUAAGGAUCGGCUAACUCCGUG
This 482-nucleotide ribosomal RNA is filed under the name uncultured bacterium. Its description in RNAcentral is "partial 16S ribosomal RNA". It matches the Rfam family "Bacterial small subunit ribosomal RNA", at positions 28 to 507 of the family's 1533-position model. The record is from RNAcentral.